Long non-coding RNA from Aegilops tauschii subsp. strangulata, 764 nucleotides. RefSeq lists it as uncharacterized. Lineage: Eukaryota; Viridiplantae; Streptophyta; Magnoliopsida; Poales; Poaceae. The record is from RefSeq and is a predicted model, not a curated record.
CCAGCCUCACCCACUCCAGCAAGCCUCCCUGACCUCUCCCACGAGCUCCAGAAGCUCUCCUCGCCUCUGUUGGCCAUCAUGGCCGCCACGGUGCUCCGGCUAAAUUCGCUCGCAGUCGAGCCCCUCCCCUCCUUCUACCACCACCAGAGACCCACCUAGUCCCCCGCGAACCUCCCCCACCUCUCCACGAGUCGCCAGAGCCACUAUGGCCUCGAGUCCCAUCGCCACCCGUAGCCUCUUCCGCCGUGACCCGUGCCAUCGUCAUUCUGCUCCUUCUCGGCGUCCGUGCAGUGCGGGGAUGGACGCGGCACUCUUCCCCGAGCUCGUCGGUGCUCGGAGCGUCGGCAACGGUGGCCGGAGUCGCCGGGGCUCGUCGCCGGAGCCGCGCCCCUGCUCUGCUCCGUCGGGCACGCGCGAGGAGGAAGAAAGAGCCAGGCCAGGCGGGCCCCCUCCUUUCCCCGACCCCACCUGGCAGCCACUCAGGCCCGGCCCCGCCCCUGCAUGCGUUGACCCGGGCGGCCAGCAUGGAUAAGUGACGGGCCCCACCCCGUGGGACCCACACGUCAGCGACCCCAGCCCCGGACCCGCGCGCGCUGAAGUGGAAGCGUACUUCAGAAAGUACGUUUUCGCGUGAACUCAGGGGCCUGUUUGUAGAGUUAUUUUUAUAGAUUGGUCCCUGAACUUCGUCGGGCUAUAACUUUUUGCUCGCAACUCCGUUUGAGAUUGCAGGUGCUGCCGUGAUUGCUUGAUUGUUUGUUGAGGUG